GAGCGAAUGGAUUAAGAGCUUGCUCUUAUGAAGUUAGCGGCGGACGGGUGAGUAACACGUGGGUAACCUGCCCAUAAGACUGGGAUAACUCCGGGAAACCGGGGCUAAUACCGGAUAACAUUUUGAACCGCAUGGUUCGAAAUUGAAAGGCGGCUUCGGCUGUCACUUAUGGAUGGACCCGCGUCGCAUUAGCUAGUUGGUGAGGUAACGGCUCACCAAGGCAACGAUGCGUAGCCGACCUGAGAGGGUGAUCGGCCACACUGGGACUGAGACACGGCCCAGACUCCUACGGGAGGCAGCAGUAGGGAAUCUUCCGCAAUGGACGAAAGUCUGACGGAGCAACGCCGCGUGAGUGAUGAAGGCUUUCGGGUCGUAAAACUCUGUUGUUAGGGAAGAACAAGUGCUAGUUGAAUAAGCUGGCACCUUGACGGUACCUAACCAGAAAGCCACGGCUAACUACGUGCCAGCAGCCGCGGUAAUACGUAGGUGGCAAGCGUUAUCCGGAAUUAUUGGGCGUAAAGCGCGCGCAGGUGGUUUCUUAAGUCUGAUGUGAAAGCCCACGGCUCAACCGUGGAGGGUCAUUGGAAACUGGGAGACUUGAGUGCAGAAGAGGAAAGUGGAAUUCCAUGUGUAGCGGUGAAAUGCGU
This 647-nucleotide ribosomal RNA is filed under the name Bacillus sp. ND2. RNAcentral describes it as "bacterial SSU rRNA". It matches the Rfam family "Bacterial small subunit ribosomal RNA", at positions 64 to 691 of the family's 1533-position model. The record is from RNAcentral. Lineage: Bacteria; Bacillati; Bacillota; Bacilli; Caryophanales; Bacillaceae.